Molecule: ribosomal RNA, 301 nt
Filed under: uncultured bacterium
Lineage: Bacteria
Description: partial 16S ribosomal RNA
Rfam family: Bacterial small subunit ribosomal RNA
Source: RNAcentral
CAGUCGCGCGGUAAUACGUAGGGUGCGAGCGUUGUCCGGAAUUACUGGGCGUAAAGGGCUCGUAGGUGGUUUGUCGCGUCAUCUGUGAAAUUCUGGGGCUUAACUCCGGGCGUGCAGGCGAUACGGGCAUAACUUGAGUGCUGUAGGGGUAACUGGAAUUCCUGGUGUAGCGGUGAAAUGCGCAGAUAUCAGGAGGAACACCGAUGGCGAAGGCAGGUUACUGGGCAGUUACCGACGCUGAGGAGCGAAAGCAUGGGUAGCGAACAGGAUUAGAUACCCCCGUAGUCCCUGUCUCUUAUAC